GGAGUUAGCCGGUGCUUCUUCUGCGAGUAACGUCACAGAUGUAAGGUAUUAACUUACACCCUUUCCUCCUCGCUGAAAGUGCUUUACAACCCGAAGGCCUUCUUAACACACGCGGCAUGGCUGCAUCAGGGUUUCCCCCAUUGUGCAAUAUUCCCCACUGCUGCCUCCCGUAGGAGUCUGGGCCGUGUCUCAGUCCCAGUGUGGCUGAUCAUCCUCUCAGACCAGCUAGGGAUCGUCGCCUAGGUGAGCCUUUACCUCACCUACUAGCUAAUCCCACCUGGGCUUAUCCAUCAGCGCAAGGCCCGAAGGUCCCCUGCUUUCCCCCGUAGGGCGUAUGCGGUAUUAGCAGUCGUUUCCAACUGUUAUCCCCCACAAAUGGGCAAAUUCCCAGGCAUUACUCACCCGUCCGCCGCUCGUCAUCUUCAAAAGCAAGCUUUUGAAAUGUUACCGCUCGACUUGCAUGUGUUAGGCCUGCCGCCAGCGUUCAAUCUGAGCCAGGAUCAAACUCUGA
RNAcentral lists this ribosomal RNA (511 nucleotides) under uncultured bacterium. Its description in RNAcentral is "partial 16S ribosomal RNA". The record is from RNAcentral.